GAAUAAAUAAGGAUUUGAAUUUUUUUAACUAAUUAUAGAAGUUUCAAAUAAAAAUUAUAGAUCAUAAUUUAUUAUUUAUUACAAAUGCUUUUAUUAUGAAAACUUUUAUAAAAGUUUCAAAGAAAAAUAUAUUAAAUUGAAGUGUAGGAUUUUUCAAACAAAUUAAAGUUGAGAAAUGACCAUAUUACACCCAUCUAAAACUGAGGGACGGUGGCCACAGGUUAACCUGCAAACCAAUGAUAUUAGGUCAUAGGAAUUUUUUUGAUAUAAAUUGAAAUUGAAGGGGAGGAAGAAG
RNAcentral lists this unclassified non-coding RNA (295 nucleotides) under Hevea brasiliensis (rubber tree). Lineage: Eukaryota; Viridiplantae; Streptophyta; Magnoliopsida; Malpighiales; Euphorbiaceae. The record is from RNAcentral.